RNAcentral lists this ribosomal RNA (253 nucleotides) under uncultured bacterium. RNAcentral's name for it is "partial 16S ribosomal RNA". It matches the Rfam family "Bacterial small subunit ribosomal RNA", at positions 524 to 776 of the family's 1533-position model. The record is from RNAcentral.
GACAGAGGAGCCAAGCGUUGUCCGGAUUGACUGGGCGUAAAGCGCACGCAGGCGGCUUGGCGCGUGGGGUGUGAAAGCUCUUGGCUUAACUAAGAGAGGCCAUCCCAUACGGCUAAGCUCGAGCCAUGCAGAGGUCCGCGGAAUUGCAGGUGUAGUGGUGAAAUGCGUAGAUAUCUGGAGGAAUACCGGUGGCGAAGGCGGCAUCCUGGACCGAGAUUGACACUGAUGAGCGAAAGCCAGGGGAGCAAACGGG